Molecule: ribosomal RNA, 471 nt
Filed under: uncultured Flavobacterium sp.
Lineage: Bacteria; Pseudomonadati; Bacteroidota; Flavobacteriia; Flavobacteriales; Flavobacteriaceae
Description: bacterial SSU rRNA
Rfam family: Bacterial small subunit ribosomal RNA
Source: RNAcentral
GAGUUUGAUCCUGGCUCAGGAUGAACGCUAGCGGCAGGCUUAACACAUGCAAGUCGAGGGGUAGAGGAAGCUUGCUUCCUUGAGACCGGCGCACGGGUGCGUAACGCGUAUGCAAUCUACCUUGUACAGGGGGAUAGCCCAGAGAAAUUUGGAUUAAUACCCCAUAGUGUAGUUGAAUGGCAUCAUUUAACUACUAAAGUUCCAACGGUACAAGAUGAGCAUGCGUCCUAUUAGCUAGUUGGUGUGGUAACGGCAUACCAAGGCUACGAUAGGUAGGGGUCCUGAGAGGGAGAUCCCCCACACUGGUACUGAGACACGGACCAGACUCCUACGGGAGGCAGCAGUGAGGAAUAUUGGACAAUGGGCGCAAGCCUGAUCCAGCCAUGCCGCGUGCAGGAAGACGGUCCUAUGGAUUGUAAACUGCUUUUAUACGGGAAGAAACACUCCUACGUGUAGGAACUUGACGGUACC